This is a long non-coding RNA of Clupea harengus (Atlantic herring), 304 nucleotides long. RefSeq lists it as uncharacterized. The transcript has 3 exons. NCBI's taxonomy places the organism in Eukaryota, Metazoa, Chordata, Actinopteri, Clupeiformes, Clupeidae. The record is from RefSeq and is a predicted model, not a curated record.
UCGAGCUCAUUUGCCUAUAGUUGCUCACUGAACGCUGCUUUAAUAAGUUUUACCUAUUUCACUGCUGCCGCGACAGCUCCAACCCAUUGAAACGGAGACGUGUUGUGUCUAUCCUGUCGUAUAAAGAAAAAGAUUAAAGGUGCAGUACAAGAACAAGUCAGCAAGCAUCUCUGAGAGAAUUAUUUUCACUAGAUCGUUGCAUUGAAGGAUAGUUUGAACGGGUUUCUUUUUCCAAAACAGAACUAAGGUCAGAAAUGUCUGGAUUUACUGAACCAUCACAACCGCUCAUGUCAGUGAAGAAGGA